Long non-coding RNA from Mytilus californianus (California mussel), 758 nucleotides. RefSeq lists it as uncharacterized. Lineage: Eukaryota; Metazoa; Mollusca; Bivalvia; Mytilida; Mytilidae. The transcript has 5 exons. The record is from RefSeq and is a predicted model, not a curated record.
UGGCCGCAAAGAGACCGGUACGUGAAGAAUUACACCCACAGUGGUCUGGGAAGAAUACAAAAUAUGAACAGAUUUCCCCUGUGAAAAACAAUUUAUAUGAUCUCUCUGAGGAGGAAAUGGGAGCCUUUUUCCAAUCGAUGUGAUGAUGCUCAAUGUGGUGUGACUUUCAUUCAAUGUGGUGUUUAUAGGAAUAACAUUUAUAAAUUUCAUUACGGACAUAUAUGCAAACAGACUGACACGGCAUUCUACCUCCUGUUUGGUUUAACGGAUGAUGGUUGGCAACAUGGGUGAAUAAAGAAUCAACAUCAUCAAAGGAGACAUCACAGCGUCUACAUAAAAAUGCUACCCAAUGUCUUCCUGGUAAGCCUGCGACAUCUGUAUUGGCUAUCACACCCAUUCCUGGUAGUAGGUGAACUUGAGACAGUUCAUCAGAUGAGAAUACACCAAGAACAGAUCGUUGUAAGUCAACGUCUGAAACAAUGGCACACUUGAGCUGGAACAUAAUGCGGAACUUCGAAAAUGUUUGACCAGUUUCCCAUAGAGGCUGCACUUAACCUUCGAAGAAGUGGCUUUUGUUCUCCAUCGACAAUAGAUUCACCACAAAUAUUAGAAUACAGAACCUGAAUCCACAGAUACUUUGAAAAGAUAUCCACGACGACUAAUAGGUAUCGAAACUGACCGUUUUCACUUGCAAUGUUUGACAUAUCAGCGAGGUCCAUGUCCCACUGAUCAUCAAUUCCAGAUACAAUUACACGUGC